GGUCUUGCCGGUCCCCGGAACACAGCCUAUAUCAGGCGUGCCGGAGGGCUUGCCCUUGGCUAUGGCGAUAAACGGUAUGUGGAAUAAUCGUUGCGGACCCGGGGGCAGUGCCCGGCGUCUCCACCAGUCAAGCCGCGUCAGCGGGGCGGCCAUGCGGGGACGAAACAGGCUCGACGCGCGUGGUAAAGACAUAUCUUUUGCCCGGCAUUGUACCACCGUCAUCGGGCUAAAUCACAAGUGCCAAUGAUAACUCUGAGGUGCUCGCUGUCGCUGCAUAAGUGACAAGCGCGGUUCGGGAGGCACCGGGCAACAGAAGCCCUCCCACC
Molecule: transfer-messenger RNA, 326 nt
Filed under: Ameyamaea chiangmaiensis
Lineage: Bacteria; Pseudomonadati; Pseudomonadota; Alphaproteobacteria; Acetobacterales; Acetobacteraceae
Rfam family: Alphaproteobacteria transfer-messenger RNA
About the family: Bacterial tmRNA, also known as 10Sa RNA or SsrA, is named for its dual tRNA and mRNA-like properties.
Source: RNAcentral